AGUGGGUGAACUAAUAUGCAUUGACAUUGGUUCACUCUUGUCUCUUGUGCUCUCCUGCAACCUGAUUCUAAUAUACAUAAGAAUAGUUUGAUAAUUGUUUAACUAUCAUUUAAAUAAUCUAAUAAAUAAAUAGUAAAAUUAUUAAUUAGUAUUUGUUAAAAAACAACUAAUCGCCAAAAUGUUUAGAUUUUUUGUAACAUUCAGUCUUGGUGUUUAUACUGGAAUAUACGUAUCUCAAAACUAUGAAGUACCCAAGGUCGACGAUCCAUCCAAAAUUAUUGAAAUGAUAAGAGAUUUUGCUGAAAAUCAUAAAAAAAAGUAGUCAAUCAUCACUUAAAACAAUAAACAAUAUGGUUAGGUUCA
This is a long non-coding RNA of Aphidius gifuensis, 363 nucleotides long. RefSeq lists it as uncharacterized. The transcript has 3 exons. Lineage: Eukaryota; Metazoa; Arthropoda; Insecta; Hymenoptera; Braconidae. The record is from RefSeq and is a predicted model, not a curated record.